UAUAGGUAUCUCACAUUUUCUUUAUCCACUCAUUGGUUGAUGGAUAUCUACUAUCUUUAACAGAUGGUUCCAAGGUCAUUGCAAAAGAAGAUGCAAAGAGGAUGGAAAAUUGAAGGUUCCUAUGCCUCAGGUCUGGAAAGGAUCUGCUUCUGCCCUGUUCCAUUAGCCAGAACUCAGUCACAUGAAGGCCAUGAGGAAGGACUCUGGAAGAUGUCUGAAUACUAGAAACCCCGAGAGCCAGAAGAAUGCAUUCGUCUGUGGUUCAAGCUAAGUAUGGGUAGUGCCAAGAUGGUUUCUGAUUUGGUCUCCACCACAUACAGUGAUUCCAAAGGGGGGUAAGACAUCCUUCCUCCUGCCCCAGUGUCAGCCCUUUGCAGUCUAUCUCGGUCUGCUUUUCAAGUACCCCUAAUAUCUUGGCACUUCCUCAUGGUGAAAAGUCUCCUUCCUCCCCUUCCUGAACCCAUCCAUGUGCCCAAUGCCCAAAGGACAUUUGGAGGGAUGCACUUAAAAUCAAAUUCGUCCACUGUCUAUUUGUUGAGAUAAGGUGUGGUGACAACAGCAGUCCAAGGGGACUACUAGCAGCCUCAGAAUCCAGCCACCCAGCCCUAGCCUUGUCAGGGCCACUCCUGGGCUGGGCACACUUGUAGGUGGGGAGGGAAGGGCAGCAUUGUCAGAGAAGACAGACCAAGCUGCAGCUGCCCUACUGGGAGGCUGGGAGGCCUGAAUAGCUUCACAGCGCUGGGCCCUGCUUGCUGAAUGGGGGCUUGGCUCCUCCCUGGCGGUGGUCCGGAAUGGAUGACAUUUUCAUUGCAAGCUAACAAGGGGAGAAAUCCAAUUACUUCACAAAGAGGCUCCUGAAGGGGCCUCACAGCCUGGAGAAAGAAGGGGAGGAGAAGAGGGGGAGAGGGAAGGAAGAAGGGGAGUGUGUGUGUGUGUGUGUGUGUGUGUGUGUGUGUGUGUGUGUGUGUGUGUGUGUGUGUAGGGAGGCUCCCACCCAGACCAGGAAAGGAACAAAGCCCUCAGGCCUCCAGGACAUGGCCUCCUGCAUACAGGCAGGGAGAUUGGAACUGGGGGGCUUUUAAUUGAUUUCCAGUGGGUCAGAGGGUCUGCCUGGAAACUCCAGGUCCCUGAGAGCUCCAGGCAAUCAGGCUUCCUCCCUGUGGAACAACCUGAGUGGUGCAGAAGAGGCCCCAGCCCUAUUUCUCUGCCCCAUCAGACUACAGUUUCCCUGACCUGAGUCAUCAAAGGCCCAUUAUACACUUUUUUACCUUUGUU
RNAcentral lists this long non-coding RNA (1275 nucleotides) under Homo sapiens (human). RNAcentral describes it as "non-protein coding lnc-TSPAN15-1:1". The record is from RNAcentral. Lineage: Eukaryota; Metazoa; Chordata; Mammalia; Primates; Hominidae.